GCGCUCGUGGCGAAACUGGUAGCCGCGCCAGAUUUAGGUUCUGGUAUCUUCGGGUGUGGGGGAUCGACUCCCUCCGGGCGCACCA
Molecule: transfer RNA, 85 nt
Filed under: Cytophagaceae bacterium
Lineage: Bacteria; Pseudomonadati; Bacteroidota; Cytophagia; Cytophagales; Cytophagaceae
Description: tRNA-Leu
Rfam family: tRNA
About the family: Transfer RNA (tRNA) molecules are approximately 80 nucleotides in length.
Source: RNAcentral